AGCAGCCGCGGUAAUUCCAGCUCCAAUAGCGUAUAUUAAAGUUGUUGCAGUUAAAAAGCUCGUAGUUGAAUUUCGGGAUCAGUACGCCGGUCGUACCUUCGGUAUGUACUGGUGUUACUGGUUCCUACCUUCUGACGAACCGUCAUGUCAUUAAUUUGGUGUGGCGGGGAAUCAGGACUGUUACUUUGAAAAAUUAGAGUGUUUAAAGCAGGCUCGCGCUUGAAUACAUUAGCAUGGAAUAAUGAAAUAGGACGUUCGAUCCUAUUUUGUUGGUUUCUAGGAUUGACGUAAUGAUUAAUAGGGAUAGUUGGGGGCAUUAGUAUUCAAUUGUCAGAGGUGAAAUUCUUGGAUUUAUUGAAGACUAACUACUGCGAAAGCAUUUGCCAAGGAUGUUUUCAUUAAUCAAGAACG
RNAcentral lists this ribosomal RNA (411 nucleotides) under uncultured Glomus. Its description in RNAcentral is "SSU rRNA". It matches the Rfam family "Eukaryotic small subunit ribosomal RNA", at positions 569 to 985 of the family's 1831-position model. The record is from RNAcentral. Lineage: Eukaryota; Fungi; Glomeromycota; Glomeromycetes; Glomerales; Glomeraceae.